GUAUGUAAUCUACCUUAAAUAGGGGGAUAGCUUCGAGAAAUCGGAAUUAAUACCCCAUAACAUUGCGGAAUGGCAUCAUUUUGCAAUUAAACCUCCGGGGAUUUAAGAUGAGCAUGCGGUGCAUUAGCUAGUUGGUAAGGUAACGGCUUACCAAGGCUACGACGCGUAGGGGGUCUGAGAGGAUGAUCCCCCACACUGGUACUGAGACACGGACCAGACUCCUACGGGAGGCAGCAGUAGGGAAUAUUGGGCAAUGGACGCAAGUCUGACCCAGCCAUGCCGCGUGCAGGAUGACGGCCCUCUGGGUUGUAAACUGCUUUUAUACGGGAAGAAAAGUUGCUACGUGUAGCAAAAUCGACGGUACCGUAAGAAUAAGGAUCGGCUAACUCCGUGCCAGCAGCCGCGGUAAUACGGAGGAUCCAAGCGUUGUCCGGAUUUAUUGGGUUUAAAGGGUGCGUA
This 459-nucleotide ribosomal RNA is filed under the name uncultured Flavobacterium sp. Its description in RNAcentral is "bacterial SSU rRNA". It matches the Rfam family "Bacterial small subunit ribosomal RNA", at positions 117 to 573 of the family's 1533-position model. Lineage: Bacteria; Pseudomonadati; Bacteroidota; Flavobacteriia; Flavobacteriales; Flavobacteriaceae. The record is from RNAcentral.